Long non-coding RNA from Metopolophium dirhodum (rose-grain aphid), 930 nucleotides. RefSeq lists it as uncharacterized. The transcript has 4 exons. The record is from RefSeq and is a predicted model, not a curated record. Lineage: Eukaryota; Metazoa; Arthropoda; Insecta; Hemiptera; Aphididae.
UUCGUUAUCGUACGUCAAUGACACCCAUUUGCCGCCAAACGCACUGACUCCGGCGAUGACGUCCGUCGAACCCAUUUAUGUAUACAGGAUGCACAGGUGAAUCCUUGUACCUACGAUAGCAGCGGGUAGUAAAUGUUUAAUGCCAAUUUGGAAAAUAACUACCUAUGGACAAAACCCUAUUGGUAACCUAUUAUUUAUGACAAUAUUGAGUGUGGUAAGGCCCACCACCAAUAAGAGUUUGACGACUGACACAAGUGAAGAACGUUAUUGGGGGAGCCGACUGUGGUCAACAAACAACAGUUAAUCACCAGAACGGAGGGCGGCACUCACCAUUUUCGAGUUUCGUCGUCGGUGGCUGGACCAAUUUCUGGACGACUGGACCGCCGUCCGCGUACAAAAAAAAACCGUCGACGGCGGACGGCACUCAAAGGUGAGCGUCUUGAUGAGGAUGACGUGCUGACGGUGUCCACCGCCCAACAGCAGAAAAACAGACCCUGUUCUCCGCUGUGCUCUAUCUCAAUCGGCAGACAAUAUCAUCGUCGUGGGCAUGGCUGGCUAUUCCGAAAACGCACACGACUAAAAAUUCGUACACUGUCUUCGGUCGAUGGUUCCCGAGUGCAACGCGACACAACACACAACAGUUCACAAAUGUAGACGAUUUGAUUUUAAUUUUUUCUUAUUAUCAAUCGACACACACACGACAGACGUUACAAUAAAAAAAAAAAUGAAAAUAAUAAAUCGAAAAAAAACACCCACAAGCUGACGGCGGUCAAUAUCACAAUUAUUCACAAUAUCGCAGGGUAUGUGGUAGUCAUGAUCACUGUCAAGCUGCAUAUCCAAAAAUAAAGUCGGAAUCAAGACACACCAAAAUGACCGAUGGGGACCAAAAGUAACUGCGAAAGUAACAAGCAAAAAAAUCACGAGUCAUCU